This 465-nucleotide ribosomal RNA is filed under the name uncultured bacterium. RNAcentral describes it as "partial 16S ribosomal RNA". It matches the Rfam family "Bacterial small subunit ribosomal RNA", at positions 28 to 507 of the family's 1533-position model. The record is from RNAcentral.
GACGAACGCUGGCGGCGUGCUUAACACAUGCAAGUCGAACGGAAAGGCCCUGCUUGCAGGGUACUCGAGUGGCGAACGGGUGAGUAACACGUGGGUGAUCUGCCCUGCACUUCGGGAUAAGCCUGGGAAACUGGGUCUAAUACCGGAUAGGAGCCAUUUUUAGUGUGAUGGUUGGAAAGUUUUUUCGGUGUAGGAUGAGCUCGCGGCCUAUCAGCUUGUUGGUGGGGUAAUGGCCUACCAAGGCGGCGACGGGUAGCCGGCCUGAGAGGGUGGACGGCCACAUUGGGACUGAGAUACGGCCCAGACUCCUACGGGAGGCAGCAGUGGGGAAUAUUGCACAAUGGGCGCAAGCCUGAUGCAGCGACGCCGCGUGGGGGAUGACGGCCUUCGGGUUGUAAUCUCCUUUCGCUAGGGACGAAGCUUUUUGUGACGGUACCUAGAUAAGAAGCACCGGCUAACUACGUG